Long non-coding RNA from Oncorhynchus tshawytscha (Chinook salmon), 750 nucleotides. NCBI's taxonomy places the organism in Eukaryota, Metazoa, Chordata, Actinopteri, Salmoniformes, Salmonidae. The record is from Ensembl.
GAAGCAACUCCCACGGGAAUUAUCAACAUUUUCACUCGCAAUUUGCUUUUACCUCAUAUAAUGUCUUCCAUGAUCAAUAAAGCCAGCUUUGUUCUAAGGUAACCUUAAUGCUGGUGUAAGCCUAAGAGCUCCUAUGGUUCAGCUAAAAGUUAGCAUUCACCUACAGCUAGCAUGUUUAUGUGAAGAUGCAGCCAUUAUUUAGCUAGCUUGCGAGCAGUUACCUAGCUGUGUAGCCUAUAUUAUAAUAUGAAUGACACUGUAUGAUAACGUUACAGUACUUUUAUUCAGUAUUCGUAUGGGAGGGGUAAAUGUUAAUUGUUGAUAUGCUAACGUUACUUGAUCAUGAAGCAUGUCGUUAGUUAAAGCUAUGGCUACAAUUUCAGAACGUAACAGGCCGUUACUAUAAAAACGAAUUUCAGCUGUUUCAAAAACAUUGCUACGCUGUUACAGUUUUUACUGUAAGUGUUGGCUCAACAAGACAUUGCUGUUUACACUGCCCUGGUUAGAGGGCGCUAGCUCCGGAGGUAGCGGUCGAGAUGUGACACGUUGGUUGCCCAGACGGCAAGUGAAAACAAAGGCUGCCUACGCACUCCCUAUCUGUGACUUGAGACCGACAGCCAGACACAGACAAGCAGAACCACAAAGGGAACACUUUCAUCUGUUUUAACCAACAUGCAGUACCUCCAGCAGGAACAGAGGCAAUAACCAUUAAUCCUCCGGCUCAGGGACAAGCUACACUAUUCACAGCCC